GGGGUUGUAACUCAACGGUAGAGUGCUUGCCUAGCAUGUGUGAGACCCUGGGAUUGAUCCCCAGCACUACA
Molecule: transfer RNA, 71 nt
Filed under: Marmota monax (woodchuck)
Lineage: Eukaryota; Metazoa; Chordata; Mammalia; Rodentia; Sciuridae
Description: tRNA.Ala
Source: RNAcentral